CACGGACCGCACGAACGUUAUUCGGUAUCACUGGGCUUAAAGGGUGCGUAGGCUGCGCAGAAAGUUGGGUGUGAAAUGCCUCGGCUCAACCGAGGAACUGCGCCCAAAACUACUGUGCUUGAGGGAGAUAGAGGUGAGCGGAACUUAGGGUGGAGCGGUGAAAUGCGUUGAUAUCCUAAGGAACACCCGUGGCGAAAGCGGCUCACUGGAUCUCUUCUGACGCUGAGGCACGAAAGCUAGGGUAGCGAACGGG
RNAcentral lists this ribosomal RNA (253 nucleotides) under uncultured bacterium. RNAcentral describes it as "partial 16S ribosomal RNA". It matches the Rfam family "Bacterial small subunit ribosomal RNA", at positions 524 to 776 of the family's 1533-position model. The record is from RNAcentral.